CGCUUAAUUAUUGAACCACCAAAUAUGUUUAGAUAAAUGGAUAUAUGCGCAUAUAUCAUGGCUAUAUAAUCCAGUUGCGCGGGUGGUACCAACCUCAAGUUUGAUUGCAGUUCGCACCUGACGUAAUUUUUAACAAUUGCUAAUUGAACUUAAAACGAAAGUUGCUCCGUUUACUUUUAUUCAGCAGAAACAAUAAAACCUGUCAACUGAUAAUAACACAAGUUACAUUGUUAACUACAUAAUUUAAUUUUAAGUAUGUCUGUUUAGUAUGUUGCUUGCACUAAAAAACAAAUAACGAGACAUAAAUAAAAAGAAAAUGUAAUAAACUAUAUUUGCAUUAUAUGUUGGGUUGCUACAGCAACUCAAUUCACUUGAACGAA
Drosophila busckii is the source of this 380-nucleotide long non-coding RNA. RefSeq lists it as uncharacterized. NCBI's taxonomy places the organism in Eukaryota, Metazoa, Arthropoda, Insecta, Diptera, Drosophilidae. The record is from RefSeq and is a predicted model, not a curated record. The transcript is spliced from 2 exons.